GUGUUCACUUCGGCAGCACAUAUAUUAAAAAUUGGAACGAUACAGAGAAGAUUAGCAUGGCCCCUGCGCAAGGAUGACACACAAAUUUGUGAAGCGUUCCAAAGACAG
Molecule: small nuclear RNA, 108 nt
Filed under: Neogale vison (American mink)
Lineage: Eukaryota; Metazoa; Chordata; Mammalia; Carnivora; Mustelidae
Source: RNAcentral